AUGAGCACCCGCGUCAAACACAUGGGUGAGAUCUCUGAUGAGCUCGAAGCAAUAAGGAAUGAAUUUGCUGCUUUGGGAUCUAAACAACAACGAAUUCAGACCCAGUUGGACGAGGUAAACAUCAGGCUGGAUAAGGUGGAAAGGUUUGAAGAAAAAAUUGACACUGUAGAAAAUCUGGUGUCCAAGAGCGCCCAAAUCCAAGGAGAGAUGUUCAAGUACUUAAUGGAGAUUGAAACGAAAAUUACCCACCCAGCCAGCCCUCAAGGCUCUCCUAUGAUGUGCCCGGCUCAGUCAGUAAUUAGAGAUCCUGAUAAACAACAGCAGGCAGCUGAAGUAAUACAGGAGCUAGAUAAACACUUAGAGGAAUUGGUACAGUCAAAACUGCAGAAAUUCAUGUCUGAUGCUACUGAAGUGAGGGAAACUACUCAAAUACCUGAUCAGAACAAGGACAUGGAAAAGCAAGUGGAAUCUCUGGUCAAAUGCAAACUACAUGCAAACAAGGAAUUCCCUCCCUCAUAA
RNAcentral lists this ribosomal RNA (519 nucleotides) under Triticum aestivum (bread wheat). RNAcentral's name for it is "partial small subunit ribosomal RNA". Lineage: Eukaryota; Viridiplantae; Streptophyta; Magnoliopsida; Poales; Poaceae. The record is from RNAcentral.